GUCUUCGUGGCUCAGUCGGUAGAGCGUUGGUCUCAUAUCACAUACAUAUGACUCUAUCUUGAGAUAGGGACAUCCAAAGGUCGAGAGUUCGAGCCUCUCCGAGGACA
Colletotrichum orbiculare MAFF 240422 is the source of this 107-nucleotide non-coding RNA. The record is from Rfam. NCBI's taxonomy places the organism in Eukaryota, Fungi, Ascomycota, Sordariomycetes, Glomerellales, Glomerellaceae.